RNAcentral lists this ribosomal RNA (605 nucleotides) under Craterellus atratoides. RNAcentral's name for it is "eukaryotic LSU rRNA". It matches the Rfam family "Eukaryotic large subunit ribosomal RNA", at positions 57 to 638 of the family's 3401-position model. The record is from RNAcentral. Lineage: Eukaryota; Fungi; Basidiomycota; Agaricomycetes; Cantharellales; Hydnaceae.
AAAAGAAACUAACAAGGAUUCCCUCAGUAACGGCGAGUGAGAGGGAAGAGCUCAGUUUUGAAAUCUGGCAGUGCUUUUACUGUCCGAGUUGUAAAUUGAAGAGAAUGUCAUCCACACUGGACCAUGUCUAAAUUGUAAUGAUCCACAGUCCUUUGAUGGAGUAUCAGAGAGGGUAAUAAUCCCGUCCUUAAUGUGGACUUACCAGUGUUUUAUGUGAUGCACUCUCUCAGAGUCGAGUAGUUUGGGAAUGCUGCUCUAAUGGGAGGUAAACUCCUUCUAAAGCUAAAUAUUGGCGAGAGACCGAUAGUGAACAAGUACCGUGAGGGAAAGAUGAAAAGAACUCUGAAAAGAGAGUCAAAGAGAACGUGAAAUUGCUGAAAGGGAAGCAUUUGGAGUCAGAUGUGUCUUCAUUGUCAUACCACCUCAGUGGCAGAGGCUGAGUGUUGGUUACUUGAGGACGGGCCAGCACUCACAUAGGCGAUUGGAGAAGGGGUCAUGGAAUGUAGCUCAAGUUAUUGAGUGAUUAUAGCCUUGAUUCAUAUACAAUGUGUCCUUUAUGUGUGAUUGAAGAGCACGGGUGUUUGACUCGGUGCUUGAUUGACUGC